Molecule: ribosomal RNA, 451 nt
Filed under: uncultured bacterium
Lineage: Bacteria
Description: partial 16S ribosomal RNA
Rfam family: Bacterial small subunit ribosomal RNA
Source: RNAcentral
AACGAACGCUGGCGGCAGGCUUAACACUUGCAAGUCGAACGCGUGUAGCAAUACACGAGUGGCGCACGGGUGAGUAACGCGUGGAUAUCUGCCUUUUGGUUCGGAAUAACCCCGGGAAACUGGGGCUAAUACCGGAUGGUUCCUUCGGGAUAAAGAUUUAUCGCCAAAAGAUGAGUCCGCGUACGAUUAGCUAGUUGGUGAGGUAAUGGCUCACCAAGGCGACGAUCGUUAGCUGGUCUGAGAGGACGAUCAGCUACACUGGGACUGAGACACGGCCCAGACUCCUACGGGAGGCAGCAGUGGGGAAUAUUGGACAAUGGGGGCAACCCUGAUCCAGCCAUGCCGCGUGAGUGAUGAAGGCCUUCGGGUUGUAAAGCUCUUUUGGCGGGGACGAUGAUGACGGUACCCGCAGAAUAAGCCCCGGCUAACUUCGUGCCAGCAGCCGCCGUAA